Long non-coding RNA from Sebastes umbrosus (honeycomb rockfish), 844 nucleotides. RefSeq lists it as uncharacterized. NCBI's taxonomy places the organism in Eukaryota, Metazoa, Chordata, Actinopteri, Perciformes, Sebastidae. The transcript is spliced from 4 exons. The record is from RefSeq and is a predicted model, not a curated record.
CUUCGGUGUUGCAGGUCAAGUUGAGACGAAGCUGCACGGCGACGAUCUUGGGAAGCCGGAGCCCCCUCCUCCCACGUCUUCUGCCUUGUGCUGUCAGCCCUCCUGAGUCGAUACAAACCGUAGCCUGGGGCCCGGCCUGGACUCCCCACUGAGGUUCUGGCCCACCGCUGGGAGAUCAAAGACCCGCCGAGAACAAUGCCGUUUCAUGCUGGUUUUAUCUUCCUGUGGUUCUCGUCGUGCUUCCUGUGGAAAACGGAGCCCGUCUGCAGCGUGUACACAGCUGGUUGGAAGACAAGACCUCCAGAUUGUGCUGAGAGUCUUGAUCCCUGUGGUUACCCUGGAUGAGGAAAACUCCCUCCCUCCCACUCCCUCUCAUUGUCCCCUCCUGACAGUGACGGUAAUGUGUGAGUAGCUUUGUACGGAUCAAGAGGAUUUGUUUCUGCUGGCAGCUUGCCCGUCACCUGAAAGAGAAAAGCCAACUAAAGGAAAAGGGACUUCUGGGUUGUGUUGUGGCCUAGUCGACCACAACUGAUGCCAAAUGUCAAAUCUGCUACUUGAGUUGGGUCAAAGUCAAUUAGAGAAAUGUCACAUGCAUAGCUCUGACAGGUGUUUCAGAAACUUAGCUUUUUUUAUAAUCUUGCUGUAAACUGUUGGUGAAUGUUUCUGCCUGUCACAGAGCUCUGUAGAUUUACUGUAUGAUGGCUUAUGGAGCUACCAUUGUGCAAUAAGUAAAUCAUUCUGUUGACAUCUGCAUUCGGCUUCUUUAUGAAUACGUGCCUUGUACGAUACACAUACAAUGGAAACAUAUCAUCCUCUGUAUUAAAGCUUCAGUAGGCAGAAUGAU